UACGUAGGGUGCAGGCGUUAAUCGGAAUUACUGGGCGUAAAGCGUGCGCAGGCGGUUAUUUAAGUCAGGUGUGAAAGCCCUGGGCUUAACCUAGGAAUUGCGCUUGAGACUGGAUAGCUUGGAGUGCGGCAGAGGGAGGUGGAAUUCCACGUGUAGCGGUGAAAUGCGUAGAGAUGUGGAGGAACACCGAUGGCGAAGGCAGCCUCCUGGGCCAAUACUGACGCUCAUGCACGAAAGCGUGGGGAGCAAACAGG
RNAcentral lists this ribosomal RNA (254 nucleotides) under uncultured bacterium. RNAcentral's name for it is "partial 16S ribosomal RNA". It matches the Rfam family "Bacterial small subunit ribosomal RNA", at positions 524 to 776 of the family's 1533-position model. The record is from RNAcentral.